Molecule: ribosomal RNA, 253 nt
Filed under: uncultured bacterium
Lineage: Bacteria
Description: partial 16S ribosomal RNA
Rfam family: Bacterial small subunit ribosomal RNA
Source: RNAcentral
UACGUAGGGGGCUAGCGUUGUCCGGAAUCAUUGGGCGUAAAGAGCGUGUAGGCGGCCCGGUAAGUCCGCUGUGAAAGUCGGGGGCUCAACCCUCGAAUGCCGGUGGAUACUGUCGGGCUAGAGUGCGGAAGAGGCGAGUGGAAUUCCUGGUGUAGCGGUGAAAUGCGCAGAUAUCAGGAGGAACACCAAUUGCGAAGGCAGCUCGCUGGGACGUGACUGACGCUGAGACGCGAAAGCGUGGGGAGCAAACAGG